AGAGUUUGAUCCUGGCUCAGGAUGAACGCUAGCGGCAGGCUUAACACAUGCAAGUCGAGGGGCAGCAUUGGUACUUGUACCAGAUGGCGACCGGCGCACGGGUGCGUAACGCGUAUGCAACCUACCUUUUACUGGGGAAUAGCCUUUAGAAAUGAAGAUUAAUACCCCAUAAUAUAAUGAUAUAGCAUUUUAUUAUUAUUAAAGUUUCGGCGGUAAAAGAUGGGCAUGCGUUUUAUUAGUUAGUUGGUAAGGUAACGGCUUACCAAGACUACGAUAAAUAGGGGUCCUGAGAGGGAGAUCCCCCACACUGGUACUGAGACACGGACCAGACUCCUACGGGAGGCAGCAGUGAGGAAUAUUGGACAAUGGGCGAGAGCCUGAUCCAGCCAUGCCGCGUGCAG
Molecule: ribosomal RNA, 401 nt
Filed under: uncultured Bacteroidota bacterium
Lineage: Bacteria; Pseudomonadati; Bacteroidota
Description: bacterial SSU rRNA
Rfam family: Bacterial small subunit ribosomal RNA
Source: RNAcentral